CUCGGUGAGGCGACGCAAACACGUUGCUUCAGAACUGGCUAAGAGAUGCGCAUGGAGGAGGUUGGCUAGCUGAUUCAGCAUGAUUAGCACCCUUGGAAGCAGAAAGAGUUUUCACGGUGCCAUAUUGUCGGUGGUUUAAAGAGGAGAGAAUAAAGUUGCAUCAGUCGAAGCUCUCUGCGU
This is a long non-coding RNA of Pundamilia nyererei, 180 nucleotides long. RefSeq lists it as uncharacterized. The transcript has 3 exons. NCBI's taxonomy places the organism in Eukaryota, Metazoa, Chordata, Actinopteri, Cichliformes, Cichlidae. The record is from RefSeq and is a predicted model, not a curated record.